CAACCCUCAAGCAAUGCUUGGUAUUGGGCUUCGCUGCUCACGUAGCGGGCCUUAAAAUCAGUGGCGGUGCCGUUGGGGCCUGAGCGCAGUAAAUAUCCUCGCUACAGGGACUCGGCGGACGCUGGCCAUCAACCCCCCACUCUCUUA
This 147-nucleotide unclassified non-coding RNA is filed under the name uncultured Hyaloscyphaceae. RNAcentral describes it as "sequence contains ITS2". Lineage: Eukaryota; Fungi; Ascomycota; Leotiomycetes; Helotiales. The record is from RNAcentral.